RNAcentral lists this transfer RNA (61 nucleotides) under Diaphorina citri (Asian citrus psyllid). It matches the Rfam family "tRNA", at positions 7 to 64 of the family's 71-position model. From Rfam's summary of the family: Transfer RNA (tRNA) molecules are approximately 80 nucleotides in length. Lineage: Eukaryota; Metazoa; Arthropoda; Insecta; Hemiptera; Psyllidae. The record is from Rfam by way of RNAcentral.
GUGGCGCAGUUGUUAACGCGUCGGACUUCGAAUCUGAAGGUUGAUGGUUCAAGUCCAUGUC